This 479-nucleotide ribosomal RNA is filed under the name uncultured bacterium. RNAcentral's name for it is "partial 16S ribosomal RNA". It matches the Rfam family "Bacterial small subunit ribosomal RNA", at positions 28 to 507 of the family's 1533-position model. The record is from RNAcentral.
GAUGAACGCUAGCGGGAGGCCUAACACAUGCAAGCCGAGCGGUAGAGUCGCUUCGGAGCCUUGAGCGCGGCGCACGGGGGCGGAACACGUGUGCAACCUGCCUUUGUCUGGGGGAUAGCCUUUCGAAAGGAAGAUUAAUACCCCAUAAUAUACUGGAUGGCAUCAUCUGGUAUUGAAAACUCCGGUGGAUAGAGAUGGGCACGCGCAAGAUUAGAUAGUUGGUGAGGUAACGGCUCACCAAGGCAGCGAUCUUUAGGGGGCCUGAGAGGGUGAUCCCCCACACUGGUACUGAGGCACGGACCACACUCGUACGGGAGGCAGCAGUAUGGAAGAUUGGACAAUGGGUGAGAGCCUGAUCCAGCCGUCCCGCGUGAAGGAGCACGGCCCUAUGGGAUGUAAACUUCUUUUGUAUAGGGAUAAUCCUAGAUACGUGUAUCUAGCUGAAGGUACUAGACGAAUAAGCACCGGCUAACUCCGUG